CGGUUGUUAACUUAGUAGGCGAACGGGUGAGUAACGACGUGAACAACCUGACCCAAAGAGGGGGAUAACAUUUGGAAACAGAUGCUAAUACCGCAUAAGACCACAACGUCACAUGGCGAAGGGGUCAAAGGAGCAAUCCGCUUUGGGAGGGGUUCGCGUCCCAUUAGGUAGAUGGCGGGGUAACGGCCCACCGAUGCCAACGAUGGGUAGCCGAGCUGAGAGGCUGAUCGGCCACACUGGAACUGAGACACGGUCCAGACUCCUACGGGAGGCAGCAGUGGGGAAUAUUGGGCAAUGGGCGCAAGCCUGACCCAAGCAACGCCGCGUGAGGGAAGAAGGUUUUCGGAUUGUAAACCUCUGUCGCAGAAGACGAAGGAAGUGACGGUAUUCUGUGAGGAAGCCCCGGCUAACUACGUGCCAGCAGCAGC
RNAcentral lists this ribosomal RNA (428 nucleotides) under uncultured bacterium. Its description in RNAcentral is "bacterial SSU rRNA". It matches the Rfam family "Bacterial small subunit ribosomal RNA", at positions 80 to 518 of the family's 1533-position model. The record is from RNAcentral.